RNAcentral lists this ribosomal RNA (253 nucleotides) under uncultured bacterium. Its description in RNAcentral is "partial 16S ribosomal RNA". It matches the Rfam family "Bacterial small subunit ribosomal RNA", at positions 524 to 776 of the family's 1533-position model. The record is from RNAcentral.
UACGGAGGGUGCGAGCGUUGUCCGGAAUCACUGGGCGUAAAGGGCGCGUAGGCGGCGCGGGAAGUCAUCGGUGAAAGUUCAGGGCUCAACUCUGAAUCGGCCGGUGAUACUCUCGUGCUUGAGCACUGUAGAGGCAGGUGGAAUUCCGGGUGUAGCGGUGGAAUGCGUAGAGAUCCGGAAGAACACCGGUGGCGAAGGCGGCCUGCUGGGCAGUAGCUGACGCUGAUGCGCGAAAGCCAGGGGAGCAAACGGG